GCAAUACACGAAAGUGUGACAAGGCUAUCCCGAGUGCCAUCCGCUGAGGAAGGCUUUUACCCAGUAUAAAUAGCUGGGAGAAUAAGGAGAGGGCAAGUCUGGUGUCAGCCGCCGCGGUAAUACCAGCUCUCCGAGUAGUGUGGAUGUUUAUUGGGCCUAAAGCAUCCGUAGCUUGCUAAGCAAGUCCCCUGUUAAAUCCACCGAUUCAAUCGAUGGUUUGCGGGGGAUACUGUUUGGCUAGGGGACGGGAGAGGUCGACGGUAUUUCCGGAGUAGGGGUGAAAUCCUAUAAUCCCGGGAGGACCACCAGUGGCGAAGGCUGUCGACUAGAACGCGCCCGACGGUGAGGGAUGAAAGCUGGGGGAGCGAACCGGAUUAGAUACCCGGGUAGUCCCAGCUGUAAACGAUGCAGGCUAGGUGUUUGGGCGGCCACGAGCCGCCCUAGUGCCGCAGGGAAGCUGUUAAGCCUGCCGCCUGGGGAGUACGGCCGCAAGGCUGAAACUUAA
Molecule: ribosomal RNA, 505 nt
Filed under: uncultured archaeon
Lineage: Archaea
Description: bacterial SSU rRNA
Rfam family: Archaeal small subunit ribosomal RNA
Source: RNAcentral